RNAcentral lists this long non-coding RNA (509 nucleotides) under Pongo abelii (Sumatran orangutan). RNAcentral describes it as "lincRNA". The record is from RNAcentral. Lineage: Eukaryota; Metazoa; Chordata; Mammalia; Primates; Hominidae.
CUCCUGUCACAGCAUCACAAUGUGGGAACGCUCCCUUCUUCAAUACCUUAAUAAUUUACACCAGCAGAAAACUCUCACCUGUGGUCAAUUUAAGCCCCUUGAAAUUCCGACCUCUCCAGCUCAUAAACCAUUUCUCUGGAACGCUACCUAAAUGAGUCUCUAAAUAUGACCUUUACAUAUUUUCUUCAUAUAUACAAAUGACAGCCUGACUGCAGCAACUCUAUACAUAGAAAAAUCAAGCUCCAGAUUGGUCUUAGUGUGGAUCACCGGCCUCAGGCUAUGCUGCCCCUGCAAGUUUUUCACCUGCUUUUCACCCACAUUGUUCAGUUCCAUGAGGCAAACACCCUCAAUCCCAGUGCUCGAAUGAGAAUCCAGCAGAGUCCCUGCUUUCCUCCUGUGUUUACCAUAAAGUAGAAGAGAAAAAUUUCAAGACAGUUUAAGUGGAUUUUAAAACUGGCAGAUAAUUAUUCCUUUGAGAAAAUGAAGAAGCCAGCAAACUAUUAUUUCGA